AAGGUGACUGCCGGUGACAAGACCGGAGGAAGGUGGGGAUGUCGUCAAAUCAUCAUGCCCCUUAUGACGUGGGCUACACACGUGCUACAAUGGAUGGUACAAAGGGCUGCAAGACCGCGAGGUCAAGCCAAUCCCAUAAAACCAUUCUCAGUUCGGAUUGUAGGCUGCAACUCGCCUACAUGAAGCUGGAAUCGCUAGUAAUCGCGGAUCAGCAUGCCGCGGUGAAUACGUUCCCGGGCCUUGUACACACCGCCCGUCACACCACGAGAGUUUGUAACACCCGAAGUCGGUGGAGUAACCGUAAGGAGCUAGCCGCCCUAAAGGUUG
Molecule: ribosomal RNA, 327 nt
Filed under: Bacillus sp. UYSB04
Lineage: Bacteria; Bacillati; Bacillota; Bacilli; Caryophanales; Bacillaceae
Description: bacterial SSU rRNA
Rfam family: Bacterial small subunit ribosomal RNA
Source: RNAcentral